This is a long non-coding RNA of Galeopterus variegatus (Sunda flying lemur), 373 nucleotides long. RefSeq lists it as uncharacterized. The transcript is spliced from 2 exons. The record is from RefSeq and is a predicted model, not a curated record. NCBI's taxonomy places the organism in Eukaryota, Metazoa, Chordata, Mammalia, Dermoptera, Cynocephalidae.
GCCCCCACAAGAAAAUUUCUUAAAAAUGUACAGAAAAAGAACUAAGGAGGGAAUCAAGAUGGUGUACUACGAAAAACUCAACUGAACUCCAAAGAAGGCGGCGACAGAGGAACUGAGGGACAAAAAGGAGGGUCCUUUGGGAGAUGACUAAGUCAUGAGAGCAGAGCCCUUGUGAAUGGGAUGGAUGCCUUAUAAAAGAGGCCUGAUGGAGCUUGUAUGCCCCUUUUCUUGCCCUUCUGCCAUGUGAAGAGACCUAGAAGGUACUACCUCUGAGGAACAGGCCCUCGCCAAAUAACAAAUGUGCUGGCAUCUUGAUCUUGGACUUCCCAGCUUCCAGAACUGUGAGCAGUAAAUUUCUGUUGUUUAUGAAUUA